This 700-nucleotide long non-coding RNA is filed under the name Homo sapiens (human). RNAcentral's name for it is "HSALNT0358009". Lineage: Eukaryota; Metazoa; Chordata; Mammalia; Primates; Hominidae. The record is from RNAcentral.
ACUGGUUUUUAGCACUGAAAGUUCUAAAUAGAACUUUCUGGGAAUGAGGGGACAGAUAUGAAUGAUGAUGCAUUUCAUUAUUUUUAUUUUUAUUUUUUGAGACAGAGUCUCACUCUGUCGGCCAGGCUGGAGUGCAAUGGCACUGUCUUGGCUCACUACAACCUCUGCCUCCCGGCUUCACGUCAUUCUCCUGCCUCCGCCUCCUGAGUAGCUGGGAUUACAGGUGCCUGUCCUGGGAAGCCCCCUCAGUCCUUGGCGAACCAAGAUGGUUGCUCACUCACCCUGUGUGGCUUUCAGAUGUUUCAGCUCACUCUGUUCCCACGGCAGCCCGUCCUUCAGAGGUGGCUGAGUUCUUCAUGAGACACAUUGCAAGCAGCCCUGGAAAACCUAUAGGAAGAAAAUCUGAACCAGAAACAGUAUGGCAGAAUUGGGAUCUGACUCACAGAGGGAAGAACUUAUAAUUCUUCACAGGUCACAUAGAAGCAUGAGAAUUUGGGUUCAAGCAAGUAAAUUCUAAAUCAGAAUCCAUACAUAAAGUGUUUGCAAUGUCCAGUUAUAUCUCCAUGAUAUUUUCUUUGUGGAAGUUGAUUGUUCUUCCUUACAAUAAAUUGCUUGAAUUGUCUGUCUAUUCAUUUAGCUAUUUCUUUUCUUGUCUUUGCGAUAUUUUUUUUUGUAAGUAAAAAAUUUUCAGACUAAAUAA